GACUUCCAAGAAAAGCUCGCAAUGUCAUGAAUAAAAAAUGCCUGUACCAUAACCGACACAGGUGGGUAGGUAGAGUAUACUAAGGGGCGCGAGAUAACUCUCUCUAAGGAACUCGGCAAAAUGACUCCGUAACUUCGGGAGAAGGAGUGCCUUAUUUAUAAGGUUGCAAUAACAAGAUCCAAGCAACUGUUUAUCAAAAACACAGGUCUCCGCUAAGUCGUAAGACGAUGUAUGGGGGCUGACGCCUGCCCAGUGCCAGAAGGUUAAAGAAGUUGGUUAGUGUAUGCGAAGCUGAUGACUGAAGCCCUGGUGAACGGCGGCCGUAACUAUAACGGUCCUAAGGUAGCGAAAUUCCUUGUCGGGUAAGUUCCGACCCGCACGAAAGGCGUAAUGAUUUGGAUACUGUCUCGGAGAGAGGCUCGGUGAAAUAGACUUGUCUGUGAAGAUGCGGACUACCUGCACCAGGACAGAAAGACCCUAUGAAGCUUUACUGUAACUUGAAAUUGGAAUUGGACUUUGCUUGCGCAGUAUAGGUGGGAAGCGUUGAAGAUAUUCUUGCGGGAGUAUUGGAGCUAUCAGUGAGAUACCACUCUUGUAAUGUUAGAUUUCUAACUUUGAACCAUAAUCUGGUCAAAGAACAGUUUCAGGUGGGCAGUUUGACUGGGGCGGUCGCCUCCCAAAUGGUAACGGAGGCGUACAAAGGUUUCCUCUGAACGGAUAGAAAUCGUAUCUAGAGUGUAAAGGCAUAAGGAAGCUUGACUGUGAGACCUACAAGUCGAGCAGGGACGAAAGUCGGUCUUAGUGAUCUGACGGUACUGAGUGGAAAGGCCGUCACUCAACGGAUAAAAGUUACUCUAGGGAUAACAGGCUGAUCUCCCCCAAGAGUUCACAUCGACGGGGAGGUUUGGCACCUCGAUGUCGGCUCAUCGCAUCCUGGGGCGGUAGUACGUCCCAAGGGUUGGGCUGUUCGCCCAUGAAAGCGGUACGCGAGCUGGGUUCAGAACGUCGUGAGACAGUUCGGUCCAUAUCCGGUGUAGGCGUUAGAAUAUUGAGAGGAGCCUUCUUUAGUACGAGAGGACCGAGAAGGACACACCGCUGGUGUACCAGUUAUCGUGCCAACGGUAAACGCUGGGUAGCUAUGUGUGGAGUGGAUAACCGCUGAAAGCAUCUAAGUGGGAAGCCCACCUCAAGAUGAGUAUUCGC
RNAcentral lists this ribosomal RNA (1203 nucleotides) under metagenome. Its description in RNAcentral is "bacterial LSU rRNA". It matches the Rfam family "Bacterial large subunit ribosomal RNA", at positions 1603 to 2815 of the family's 2925-position model. The record is from RNAcentral.